UCUUGCGCAAUGGGCGAAAGCCUGACGCAGCAACGCCGCGUGGGGGAAGAAGGCCUUCGGGUUGUAAACCCCUUUCAGUUGGGACGAAGCUUCGCCGGUGAAUAGCCGGCUGGAGUGACGGUACCUUCACAAGAAGCACCGGCUAACUACGUGCCAGCAGCCGCGGUAAUACGUAGGGUGCAAGCGUUGUCCGGAAUCAUUGGGCGUAAAGCGCGUGUAGGCGGCUUGGUCAGUCAGCUGUGAAAGCCCAGGGCUCAACCCUGGGAUGCCGGUUGAUACUGCCAAGCUCGAGUCCGGAAGAGGCGAGUGGAAUUCCUGGUGUAGCGGUGAAAUGCGCAGAUAUCAGGAGGAACACCAAUGGCGAAGGCAGCUCGCUGGGACGUGACUGACGCUGAGACGCGAAAGCGUGGGGAGCAAACAGG
This 422-nucleotide ribosomal RNA is filed under the name uncultured bacterium. RNAcentral describes it as "bacterial SSU rRNA". It matches the Rfam family "Bacterial small subunit ribosomal RNA", at positions 362 to 776 of the family's 1533-position model. The record is from RNAcentral.